Acanthosepion pharaonis is the source of this 113-nucleotide non-coding RNA. NCBI's taxonomy places the organism in Eukaryota, Metazoa, Mollusca, Cephalopoda, Sepiida, Sepiidae. The record is from the annotation of a GenBank genome assembly.
UACAGCCAUAUCAUCUUCAAACACCAGUUCCUGUAUGAUCACUGAAGUUAAGCAAUGUCAAGACUGGUCUGUAGCUAAAUGAGUGACAGUUUGGGAAUACCAGGUGCUGUAAG